Molecule: non-coding RNA, 27 nt
Filed under: Mus musculus (house mouse)
Lineage: Eukaryota; Metazoa; Chordata; Mammalia; Rodentia; Muridae
Source: RNAcentral
UGCCUGACCUAAAGCUUUACUACGGAG